This is a long non-coding RNA of Triticum urartu, 1466 nucleotides long. RefSeq lists it as uncharacterized. NCBI's taxonomy places the organism in Eukaryota, Viridiplantae, Streptophyta, Magnoliopsida, Poales, Poaceae. The record is from RefSeq and is a predicted model, not a curated record.
GGAAGGAGAGAGAGAUGCGCCAGAAACAGAUCCCCCGAUGCCCCUCCUCUCUCCCAAGUCGCCGCCACCAACCGCCUCGUGACCCUCCUCUCCUCCUCGCCGCCGGCCCUCCCCUGCCCUCCUCCCACCUCGCAGCUCCGGAGGCUACCGGAUCCGCCGCAUCACCCACCCACUUAUCCCUCUCACAUCCCAUCUCUCUCUUGAUGCGACUCCUCGUUGCGCUACCUGCGGCGGCUGAUUCAGGCGACAUCCAGCCGGCGAAUCCCGCCAUCGCGAAGCACAGCCUGACGUCCAAUCACACCGUGGCGCCCUUCCAUGCGGCUAGAUCCGGAGGUAGCGGGCUCCAAAGCCCACCCGUGACCUUUCCCUGAUGGCUAGGGCUUCGGGCGUCGGCUAAGGCACCGGUGGCCAUGUCGUCCUCUCUUUCGGUGAGUGAAUCCCCUCCCCUGGCUUUGGCCUCUCUCUCUUCCCCUUUAUCUAACCUCUGUUCUUCUCUUCUCCUAUAGACGUCUAGGUAUACACCCCUGAUUCUAUUGCUGCUAAUCCCUGUCAAAAAAGUUUGGCCCUUGUGCAAUUCACUGACGAACACUGAUAGGCCUGUAGACUGACUUCUGAUCUCCAUUGAUUUAUAUUUAUGCACGGAUUGCUACUCUAUUAAAUUACUAAUAUUAGAUAUCAAUGGAGCAUCAAAUUUUGCUAAGUGCUAAUUCAUCCAUCCUUGAUAGAUGAGUCGUUAAUCCUUUCUAUUUUUAAUAUGUAGAGAAGCGCUACUUCAUAUAUGCGGACCCCAUGUUAAACAGUCUAGUACAAGAGUUACAAUAUUUAAGGAGGGAUCCAGUCUUAGUAGAUCUCUGUAUUGCAGUUGUGAUGAGUUACUAAUCAAAGUUUUUGUUGCAAUUUCACACUUUUUGGGAGUCUGAUGGUCAGGUUAUUUAGGUGGAGGUUGUAGCUUGCUAAUGGUGGCUUUCACGUCCAGUGCAAAUACUAGUGGACGUGGACCUAUUGGGGAAAGCACGUACAUCUUUGUGUUUAGUGAGCAGGUUUCCGAAGAAAGAAAUACUCAAUGCCAUUCGGUGGUUUUCAAUGUGCCAGGCUCUACAUUCAUACUACAUCAUUGAGUUUUACCUUCAACUAAGACUAUUUCCGUUGAGAUUCAAAAGAUAUACGGAUGAUUACAUGGGUGCGUGGCAAGUAUACUACAAUGAUGAUGAUGAUGAUGUUCCUGGUUCACGAUGAAGACGAUGAUGGCUGUUCUCAGUUUUAGUUUAGUUGUAGGGAUGCUUUUCCUGUUGGAUGAUGUUCCUCGGUUAAGUUUUAGUUUAAGUUGUAGGGAUGUUGAUGGAUGAUUUUAGUUUAAGUUUUGCUGUCAAGAGAAUAUUCAGGUUAUGCAUCACAUCUGGAUGUUAUUACUCCUGUAAUAUCAACUAUUGUAAUCCCACAGUUUUUUUCAAUAUAUGAUUUCUUCC